AAUAGACGUAUACCUGUGCGAUCGUCAGCGCCAAGCCUCUUAAUGAGAGAUUCAGUGUGACCUUGCCAACCCAUAAAGGUGGAAAGCAUGAAGGACUUAGCUUGAGAUGAGACUGGAAAGCGUUGGCAAGCACAGUCAAUAGAAAUGAAGUAUUACGCUGAGAGAAGCAAUCGAUUAACGUGAAAAGGUGUUAACCGUUCACUGCAGGAUGCGGUGAGGGAAGAUGGCUGGAAUGGAGUCCAUCAGUUGAAGAUCUAUACUGUGCAGCUCACAAGGGAGAGGCAAAUGCCAAAUAUACAUUCAUUUUUCUUUCCAGCAUGAAGCCACAUCAACAAGUCACAUUAUAGCAGCAUCCCUGCAAGAGACAAUGUAGGAAGGGCCACCUCUUUCUGCCCAUAGACUUCUACUCUAGAUUUAUUCACAAACUUGGAUAGAAUGUAAAAAGUGUUGCUAGAAUAAAGUCUAUAAUAUAUAUA
Molecule: long non-coding RNA, 476 nt
Organism: Xenopus laevis (African clawed frog)
Lineage: Eukaryota; Metazoa; Chordata; Amphibia; Anura; Pipidae
Exons: 2
Source: RefSeq, a predicted model, not a curated record